RNAcentral lists this ribosomal RNA (211 nucleotides) under uncultured Staphylococcus sp. RNAcentral's name for it is "partial 16S ribosomal RNA". It matches the Rfam family "Bacterial small subunit ribosomal RNA", at positions 150 to 355 of the family's 1533-position model. The record is from RNAcentral. Lineage: Bacteria; Bacillati; Bacillota; Bacilli; Caryophanales; Staphylococcaceae.
CGGGAAACCGGAGCUAAUACCGGAUAAUAUUUGAACCGCAUGGUUCAAAAGUGAAAGACGGUCUUGCUGUCACUUAUAGAUGGAUCCGCGCUGCAUUAGCUAGUUGGUAAGGUAACGGCUUACCAAGGCAACGAUGCAUAGCCGACCUGAGAGGGUGAUCGGCCACACUGGAACUGAGACACGGUCCAGACUCCUACGGGAGGCAGCAGCC